CGCAGGGGUGGGGACUGAGCCGCUUCCUUAAACGGCGCGGGAGCGGCGGGGCGAGCGGCGGAGCGGGCCCGCACCGCCCCGGUGAGCCGGGCCGCGCCGACCCUCCCGGGACGCGGCCGCAACACGUGGAGCAAACUUUCGAGGGAUGUGCGUCUGCCGCCGGACAGAAACUCCGCCGCAUCGGGAUUGCGCCUUAAUGUUGCCCGGAGCUGCUCGCCUCUGUCUGGAGCAUUUCAACUGCUUUUCUUAAAGCUGAAUUCUGUGUAAACGAGAAGUGACUAGAAACCCUGAACUGAGUCCCAGGUCUCGCUUAACUAUGUAAGGCACACUGACAUACUGACGCUACUCCCGUUAAGGUAUGGUAUGAAUCAGGAACUGUACCAGCUGCCAUGGAAUGAGUGCGUUCCCAUGAAGUCAUCCUGCCGUAGCUAUUGCAGAAUCAUCAACUUCGCUGUGUAAGCAAGCCCUAAAAGACAAUCCUUGUCCCAAUGACUGUGUGACUAGAUAAGAUGAGACAAUGGGCACAAGAAAGGCACCUUACUAUCAGUUAAGGAUACUGUUCAACCAGCUGGGAACAAAGAAAUUUGGGCUGCUCAAGGCCCCACAGGACUGUCCGGGAGUGACCUUCCCUGCGGGCUGAUUCCAGGAACUUGCCAUUUUUGGAACUGUUUGUUUCAGGACUUACUGCUUUGACACCUUUGAUUUCUGAGACUCCCCAUCAUAGGAAGCCCCAGACACUCUGCUCCUCUCCACGAGGAUUUCUUCAUCUAGCAGCUCUCAUGUCUUCAUCUGAUACUGAAACGAGAUCGAAGGGCUUGAGUGUUUCCUUGGCAAGAUGCGUGGAUGGUAUUAGUUUAAUCUGGUCUGCUUCUGAUACCUACCAAGCCAACUGGACCAGCCCCAAUCACCUCAACUGCUAACAGGCUGCAGAGCAACGACCUACUACAGUGGAAUAUUUUUUGUGCUGCGAACAGGAAGAUCGGGAAUGAGGGUUUGUAACUUUUUUGGAUGUGUUUCUAUGUUACAAUUUUAUCUUUAGUAUCACCACCUUACUCAAAGUAAGAAUAUUUAGAUGUUAAAAUAAACACAUUUUUGCUCUGAAAUACUGGGAUAUGCCUCCCCAGCUUCUUCCUAUCUCGGCUUUGCCACUAUGAAGAGAACCCACUCCUGGAUUUUAAAGUUGGAAGGACGAGUCUGAACCUCUAACAGAGGAUGAGUGCAUAGAGCAACUUCUGCAAUUCAUCCUGAAGCCAGGGCCCUGAUGAGUGGAUCUUUUUCCUAAGUGCUAUGGGAACUCUGCCUAUAUAAAUGUCUGACAAGCUGUUCCAGUGCUUUAUACCCUUGGGUCUUGUACCUUGCAGCAAGCUGCAAGUGCCCACUUAUGCAUCUUGUAUAGCCUCUGUGGAUAAAGCCCUUCAUGUAUGUGACUGCAUGUGGUGAAUAGGAGAGCAUGGUGGUUGGUGCUAUUUUUAUCCUAUCUGUUCCCAAAACAGCUCUCCCAGUCACGUAGGUCACACACAUCCCCUCCAGUUGCCAUACUGCCUGUCAGAGUGGAGGGUAGGUGCAGCAGAGGUCUGUAGGGACACUUGGUACCUGGCCAGGGGCUUAUACGCAGGAUCCCUUGUGCAUAUCCUGCAGGUGGGAUCCAGCCCUGCCGGUCCCUCUUUAACACUUCAGGACAUUCUCAGCAGACCCAUGAGUCUGUUUCUCAGUGCCCAGGGUAAGCCACUAAGAUUCCAAGAACAAAUUUGGCUGGUUUGGGUUUUUUUUUUUUUUUUGGAAGUGCAGUCAUUUAGCACCUCCGAUUUGGCUUGGAAAAAUGCAGCAAUACCUAAAAUAAAAGUGUUCUGAAAAGUA
This is a long non-coding RNA of Aquila chrysaetos chrysaetos, 1857 nucleotides long. RefSeq lists it as uncharacterized. The transcript is spliced from 2 exons. Lineage: Eukaryota; Metazoa; Chordata; Aves; Accipitriformes; Accipitridae. The record is from RefSeq and is a predicted model, not a curated record.